AGUCGAGCGGAACGAGUUAUCUGAACCUUCGGGGAACGAUAACGGCGUCGAGCGGCGGACGGGUGAGUAAUGCCUAGGAAAUUGCCCUGAUGUGGGGGAUAACCAUUGGAAACGAUGGCUAAUACCGCAUGAUGCCUACGGGCCAAAGAGGGGGACCUUCGGGCCUCUCGCGUCAGGAUAUGCCUAGGUGGGAUUAGCUAGUUGGUGAGGUAAGGGCUCACCAAGGCGACGAUCCCUAGCUGGUCUGAGAGGAUGAUCAGCCACACUGGAACUGAGACACGGUCCAGACUCCUACGGGAGGCAGCAGUGGGGAAUAUUGCACAAUGGGCGCAAGCCUGAUGCAGCCAUGCCGCGUGUGUGAAGAAGGCCUUCGGGUUGUAAAGCACUUUCAGUCGUGAGGAAGGUGGUAGUGUUAAUAGCACUAUCAUUUGACGUUAGCGACAGAAGAAGCACCGGCUAACUCCGUGCCAGCAGC
Molecule: ribosomal RNA, 475 nt
Filed under: bacterium 2611-S6-01-3
Lineage: Bacteria
Description: bacterial SSU rRNA
Rfam family: Bacterial small subunit ribosomal RNA
Source: RNAcentral